CAGGCUUGGGCUGCGCCGGGCGGGCGGGGAGCCGGCGGCUCUGUGUGUGUGCGCGCGCGGGGAGCCCGGAGCUGCGGCGGGCAUGAGGUAGGUGAGAGCCCUGAGUAUCUGAGCAAGGCAGCAUGGCAAAAGCCAGUACAGCACCGUGGAUGUCCCAGAGCAGGGAACGGGCCAGGUUGCACAGUGGUGGAAAGGCUGGCAAACCUGAGGUCCAGGAAAAGCAGGGAACAGGCUUGUUACUUCAGGAAACACAGAGGGAGACUCAAAGGAGCUCAGAGCGAAUGUUCCAGUGUGAGGAGGAGGAGGAAGUGAGAUGCGCUCCUGAAAGACUGGAUGGGUCGAGGCAAGAGGAGGAGCUGGUGCCAGGCUAUUUCCAGAAAGAUAGGAAAUGACUUGAGGAUAGACAGCUCCAUUGUGAAACCUCCACCCAGUGCACAAAGGCUGAAGAGCAGAUGGUAGCCAAAGCUGAUCCAGCAACCGAUCCCUGCAUCAUCUGCUCAGUACUACCCUGCUAAGCUGGCCAGUGCUCCUCUCGGGACAGCUCCCUCACAGCCAUUCCCCAUGAAAUUCCUUCACAGAGACUGAAGAAAUAGGAGAGCUGGGGCCCCAGCAAGAUGCACUUGAUGAUUGUAAAAUAGUCUCUCCAUUGCCAUUUUUUUUGUAAAUAUGUUGCUGUGGUCUAGUAUUGAAGCUGGCCUGCAUCUCUGUAUAAUAAAGUAGAU
RNAcentral lists this long non-coding RNA (722 nucleotides) under Terrapene triunguis (Three-toed box turtle). RNAcentral describes it as "Terrapene carolina triunguis (Three-toed box turtle) lncRNA (ENSTMTG00000003287.1)". Lineage: Eukaryota; Metazoa; Chordata; Testudines; Emydidae. The record is from RNAcentral.